UACGGAGGGUGCAAGCGUUAUCCGGAUUCACUGGGUUUAAAGGGUGCGUAGGCGGGCAAGUAAGUCCGUGGUGAAAUCUCUGAGCUUAACUCAGAAACUGCCAUGGAUACUAUUUGUCUUGAAUGUUGUGGAGGUAAGCGGAAUAUGUCAUGUAGCGGUGAAAUGCUUAGAUAUGACAUAGAACACCAAUUGCGAAGGCAGCUUACUACACAAAUAUUGACGCUGAGGCACGAAAGCGUGGGGAUCAAACAGG
RNAcentral lists this ribosomal RNA (253 nucleotides) under uncultured bacterium. RNAcentral's name for it is "partial 16S ribosomal RNA". It matches the Rfam family "Bacterial small subunit ribosomal RNA", at positions 524 to 776 of the family's 1533-position model. The record is from RNAcentral.